GGCAACAAAGCAUUCAGAAACUCCUCCAUGCACAUACAGGCUAUGUUUCAUUUUAUGAUAUUCCUAAAUCCUUUUGUUCAUAAAUUCAGUGACUAUCUAUAGGCAGCCACUACUGCCAUCUGUUGGUAGUGGCCAGAACUGAUGCAUUUCAGCAUAGGUGCAUAAAAUGGUUCUUAUCUAAGUCUGUAAGUUGAAUCUUGUCAUCACAGGAACCUCUGUAUUCAUGGAAAAAAAAAAAAAAACCCAGCAUGUGGAAUCAGAUAGACUUGGGUUCAUAUCGUUGCUGUGCCUCAUGUGAGAAGUGUGACCACUGUCAUUUUGGGUUUUCCAUUUGUUAGAUGGGGAUAAUACCUAGUUUAUAAGAAUGUUGUAAGAAUUAUGUAAUGAAUGAAUAUUAGUUUGGGUAGAUGCUAGUCAGAAUUUCAGUGGCUGAACACAGUCUGUUGUUAACUUCAUAGCGUCUUGCUCAUAACACAGUUCAAAAUGGGUGCUCUGAAUCAUCGGGCAGCUCUCCUAAAUCACAGGACCAAGCGCCUUUCAUCUUAUGACUCCACCAUCUUCAACUCUGGCCUCCAAGGUCAUCCUGGAGCCCAACAUCCACCAGCAGAGUAAGAGGAGAGGGCAUGGAGCGACACAAAUGGUUUGUGGCCAAAGUUCAGACUGCUUAAAUUACGUGCCAUCACCCAUACUCACCAGCACUCUGAGAAACAACAAGCCGCUCAGUGAUGGUAAACAACACUCACGAGGAAACCACUUCAAAAAGCUCAGGUCAGUGUUCACAAGGGGACAGUUUUCCUGCAAAUGUAAAAUGUGCCAAUUACAGUGCCAUGUAAAAUGAA
Molecule: long non-coding RNA, 839 nt
Organism: Acinonyx jubatus (cheetah)
Lineage: Eukaryota; Metazoa; Chordata; Mammalia; Carnivora; Felidae
Exons: 2
Source: RefSeq, a predicted model, not a curated record